GCCGGGCCCCUCAGCACUGGAACUGUAGGGUGGAACUCCGCAGGGACGCCAGUCUCGCCUUUGUCCGGUGUGGCUGCCCCCUCACUUUUGCCCUUGCCUCUGCCCCUGCACGGUUUCGGUGGUUCUCUCUUCCACCGGUCUUGGGUCGUUGUUUAGCCAAGAGACAGAGCAGUGAAAUGGAAAGACAUAUCCUUGAUUUGCAGAUAAGGAGAAACUAUGCAGUUGUCUUGAAUUGUCUUUGGAAGAGAAAGCGGAUGCUGAAGAGAGGAGCAGGAAGCUGAAGGAGCUGCAUGGUUGAAACUCAUUCUGUCCCUUGUCAAGUGCAGUUUUCUUCUUAGCAGACUUUUGCUUUUCAGUCUAAUUCAAUGGUUUGUGCCACCUCUGCCUCUCCCCAAGUGCUGGUGCUCUGAGAUGGGGCACAGUCAGUCCAGGUUUGCGUUUUUGCUUAAUUUGACUCUAAACCAGGAUUUGGCAUCUCCUCUAAUGAGCUGAGGUUGUUAUGAAGGCACUGGAUCAUGUAAUCAACUGAGAUUUCAAUAAAUCCCUUAAUCCUAAA
Haemorhous mexicanus (house finch) is the source of this 556-nucleotide long non-coding RNA. RefSeq lists it as uncharacterized. The transcript has 2 exons. The record is from RefSeq and is a predicted model, not a curated record. Lineage: Eukaryota; Metazoa; Chordata; Aves; Passeriformes; Fringillidae.